GAGCAAGCGCCAUGUUGAAGCCAUCAUUACCAUUCAGAUCCCUCUUAUUCCUGCAGCUGCCCCUGCUGGGAGUGGGGCUGAACACGACAAUUCUGACGCCCAAUGGGAAUGAAGACACCACAGCUGGUGGGAAAUCUGGGACUGGAGGGGGCUGGUGAGAAGGGUGGCUGUGUGAAAGGGCCGUACAGAAAUCUGGUACCUGCCACUGGCCAUUACAGUCAUGUGGGCAGAAUUGAAAAGUAGAGUGGGAAGGGCAAGGGGAAGGGUUCCCUGCCUCAUGCUACUUUUUCUUUCUUUCUUUCUUGUUUGUUUGUUUCUUUCUUUCUUUUGAGGCAGGAUCUCACUAUGUUGCCUAGGCUGGUCUCAAACUCCUGGCCUCUAAAGAUCCUCCUGCCUCAGCCUUUCAAAGCACCAGGAUUACAGACAUGAGCCACCGUGCUUGGCCUCCUCCUUCUGACCAUCAUUUCUCUUUCCCUCCCUGCCUUCAUUUUCUCCCCAAUCUAGAUUUCUUCCUGACCUCUAUGCCCGCUGACUCCCUCAGUGUUUCCACUCUGCCCCUCCCAGAGGUUCAGUGUUUUGUGUUCAAUGUCGAGUACAUGAAUUGCACUUGGAACAGCAGCUCUGAGCCCCAGCCUACCAACCUCACUCUGCAUUAUUGGUACAAGAACUCAGAUAAUGAUAAAGUCCAGAAGUGCAGCCACUAUCUAUUCUCUGAAGAAAUCACUUCUGGCUGUCAGUUGCAAAAAAAGGAGAUCCACCUCUACCAAACAUUUGUUGUUCAGCUCCAGGACCCACGGGAACCCAGGAGACAGGCCACACAGAUGCUAAAACUGCAGAAUCUGGGUAAUUUGGAAAGAAAGGGUCAAGAGACCAGGGAUACUGUGGGACAUUGGAGUCUACGGAGUAGUGUUCUUUUAUCAUAAGGGUACAUGGGCAGAAAAAGGAGGUAGGGGAUCAGGAUGGGAAGGGAGGAGGUAUUAGGGGCACUACCUUCAGGAUCCUGACUUGUCUAGGCCAGGGGAAUGACCACAUAUGCACACAUAUCUCCAGUGAUCCCCUGGGCUCCAGAGAACCUAACACUUCACAAACUGAGUGAAUCCCAGCUAGAACUGAACUGGAACAACAGAUUCUUGAACCACUGUUUGGAGCACUUGGUGCAGUACCGGACUGACUGGGACCACAGCUGGACUGAACAAUCAGUGGAUUAUAGACAUAAGUUCUCCCUGCCUAGUGUGGAUGGGCAGAAACGCUACACGUUUCGUGUUCGGAGCCGCUUUAACCCACUCUGUGGAAGUGCUCAGCAUUGGAGUGAAUGGAGCCACCCAAUCCACUGGGGGAGCAAUACUUCAAAAGAGAAUCCUUUCCUGUUUGCGUUGGAAGCCGUGGUUAUCUCCGUUGGCUCCAUGGGAUUGAUUAUCAGCCUUCUCUGUGUGUAUUUCUGGCUGGAACGGACGAUGCCCCGAAUUCCCACCCUGAAGAACCUAGAGGAUCUUGUUACUGAAUACCACGGGAACUUUUCGGCCUGGAGUGGUGUGUCUAAGGGACUGGCUGAGAGUCUGCAGCCAGACUACAGUGAACGACUCUGCCUCGUCAGUGAGAUUCCCCCAAAAGGAGGGGUCCUCGGGGAGGGGCCUGGGGCCUCCCCAUGCAACCAGCAUAGCCCCUACUGGGCCCCCCCAUGUUACACCCUGAAGCCUGAAACCUGAACCCCAAUCCUCUGACAGAAGAACCCCAGGGUCCUGUAGCCCUAAGUGGCACUAACUUUCCUUCGUUCAACCCAUCUGCGUCUCAUACUCACCUCACUCCACUGUGGCUGAUUUGGAAUUUUGUGCCCCCAUGUAAGCGCCUUCAUUUGGCAUUCCCCACUUGAGAAUUACGCUUUUGCCCUGUACAUGUUUUUCUUCUCCCUCAGUCUGGCCCUUCCUUUUCGCAGGAUUCUUCCUCCCUCCCUCUUUCCCUCCCUUCCUCUUUCCGUCUACCCUCCAAUUAUUCCUGAACCGAUGAGAAAUAAAGUUUCUGUUGAUAAUCAUCAAAAA
Molecule: small RNA, 2036 nt
Filed under: Pongo abelii (Sumatran orangutan)
Lineage: Eukaryota; Metazoa; Chordata; Mammalia; Primates; Hominidae
Description: retained intron
Source: RNAcentral